This 253-nucleotide ribosomal RNA is filed under the name uncultured bacterium. RNAcentral describes it as "partial 16S ribosomal RNA". It matches the Rfam family "Bacterial small subunit ribosomal RNA", at positions 524 to 776 of the family's 1533-position model. The record is from RNAcentral.
UACGAAGGGGGCUAGCGUUGCUCGGAAUCACUGGGCGUAAAGCGCACGUAGGCGGCUUCUUAAGUCGGUGGUGAAAUCCUGGAGCUCAACUCCAGAACUGCCUUCGAUACUGAGAGGCUUGAGUCCGGGAGAGGUGAGUGGAACUGCGAGUGUAGAGGUGAAAUUCGUAGAUAUUCGCAAGAACACCAGUGGCGAAGGCGGCUCACUGGCCCGGUACUGACGCUGAGGCACGAAAGCCAAGGGAGCAAACAGG